RNAcentral lists this ribosomal RNA (465 nucleotides) under uncultured bacterium. RNAcentral describes it as "partial 16S ribosomal RNA". It matches the Rfam family "Bacterial small subunit ribosomal RNA", at positions 28 to 507 of the family's 1533-position model. The record is from RNAcentral.
GACGAACGCUGGCGGCGUGCUUAACACAUGCAAGUCGAACGGAAAGGCCCUGCUUGCAGGGUACUCGAGUGGCGAACGGGUGAGUAACACGUGGGUGAUCUGCCCUGCACUUCGGGAUAAGCCUGGGAAACUGGGUCUAAUACCGGAUAGGAGCCAUUUUUAGUGUGAUGGUUGGAAAGUUUUUUCGGUGUAGGAUGAGCUCGCGGCCUAUCAGCUUGUUGGUGGGGUAAUGGCCUACCAAGGCGGCGACGGGUAGCCGGCCUGAGAGGGUGGACGGCCACAUUGGGACUGAGAGACGGCCCAGACGCCUACGGGAGGCAGCAGUGGGGAAUAUUGCCGAAUGGGGGCAAGCCUGAUGCAGCGACGCCGCGGGGGGGAUGACGGGCUUGGGGUUGUAAACUCCUUUCGCUAGGGACGAAGCUUUUUGUGACGGUACCUAGAGAAGAAGCACCGGCUAACUACGUG